This 253-nucleotide ribosomal RNA is filed under the name uncultured bacterium. RNAcentral describes it as "partial 16S ribosomal RNA". It matches the Rfam family "Bacterial small subunit ribosomal RNA", at positions 524 to 776 of the family's 1533-position model. The record is from RNAcentral.
UACGAAGGGGGCUAGCGUUGCUCGGAAUCACUGGGCGUAAAGGGUGCGUAGGCGGGUUUUUAAGUCAGGGGUGAAAUCCUGGAGCUCAACUCCAGAACUGCCUUUGAUACUGAAGAUCUUGAGUUCGGGAGAGGUGAGUGGAACUGCGAGUGUAGGGGUGAAAUUCGUAGAUAUUCGCAAGAACACCAGUGGCGAAGGCGGCUCACUGGCCCGAUACUGACGCUGAGGCACGAAAGCGUGGGGAGCAAACAGG